UUCGAUGAUACGCGAGGAACCGUUACCUUGGGCUUAAAUAGUAGAGUGUCUAUUUUUAGUAGAUAGUAAACUUCCUUCGGGCGUUUCUGCAAGGUGCUGCAUGGUUGUCGUCAGCUCGUGCCGUGAGGUGUCGGGUUAAGUCCCAUAACGAGCGCAACCCUUAUCGUUAGUUGCCAUCUGGUAAUGCAGGGGACUCUAGCGAAACUGCCACCGUAAGGUGAGAGGAAGGUGGGGAUGACGUCAAAUCAGCACGGCCCUUAUGCCCAGGGCUACACACGUGUUACAAUGGUCGGUACAGAGGGCAGCUACCUGGUGACAGGAUGCUAAUCCCGAAAACCGGCCUCAGUUCGGAUCGAAGUCUGCAGCUCGACUUCGUGAAGCUGGAUUCGCUAGUAAUCGCGCAUCAGCCAUGGCGCGGUGAAUACGUUCCCGGGCCUU
Molecule: ribosomal RNA, 438 nt
Filed under: uncultured Sphingobacteriales bacterium
Lineage: Bacteria; Pseudomonadati; Bacteroidota; Sphingobacteriia; Sphingobacteriales
Description: bacterial SSU rRNA
Rfam family: Bacterial small subunit ribosomal RNA
Source: RNAcentral